AAAAAAUGGAUUAUAAUUUGUAUAACCCUGUUGGGAUUUCAAAUGGGAGUUUUAAUGGUCAGAUCUGAUUUCCAGCCUCUUCAGUGCUGUCAUCAGUGAUUUAAAGGCACGUUAUUGAUAGUAUUUCACAGUCAAACACAAUUAUGGCCCAGGUGAUUUAUGCUUAAAAACACUAAUUGAUAGGUACAAGAGACAUUGUUUUAUGCACAUUAUUGAUAGUCUUUCACAGUCAAACACAAUUAUGGCCCAGGUGAUGUAUGCUUAAAAACACUGAUAGAUAGGUACAAGAGACAGUGUUUUAUGUGAAGAUUAUCUCAGGAAUAUCUAUAUAAUUUAUAAAUAAGUUUACAAGGUGAGCUGAAUAUACACAAUCACAUUUAGGUUCCCGAGUAACAAACAAAUGAGACCACCACUAUCUUUGUUUUAAGUUCUUUAUUUCCAAUAUGACAAUUGUCGGUCAUCUUUUGCAGGUCAAAGGAUUAUCAAUCCGCGACAUCCACAAAACUUCACAUCCAGUAAUGGGCAACUCUAUUCCUACCUGAUAUGAUAGAAUAAUCCAUCAGCACAGUAAUGGC
Molecule: long non-coding RNA, 575 nt
Filed under: Lathyrus oleraceus (garden pea)
Lineage: Eukaryota; Viridiplantae; Streptophyta; Magnoliopsida; Fabales; Fabaceae
Description: Pisum sativum (pea) long non-coding RNA (PSAT_LNC022599)
Source: RNAcentral